This is a non-coding RNA of Zootoca vivipara (common lizard), 73 nucleotides long. The record is from the annotation of a RefSeq genome assembly. Lineage: Eukaryota; Metazoa; Chordata; Lepidosauria; Squamata; Lacertidae.
ACCUGGAUAGCUCAGGCGGUAAAGCAUGAGACUCAUAAUCUCAGGGUUGUGGGUUCAAACCCUACACUGGGUU